Molecule: ribosomal RNA, 497 nt
Filed under: uncultured bacterium
Lineage: Bacteria
Description: partial 16S ribosomal RNA
Rfam family: Bacterial small subunit ribosomal RNA
Source: RNAcentral
GAUGAACGCUGGCGGCGUGCCUAAUACAUGCAAGUCGAGCGAACAGACGAGGAGCUUGCUCCUCUGACGUUAGCGGCGGACGGGUGAGUAACACGUGGAUAACCUACCUAUAAGACUGGGAUAACUUCGGGAAACCGGAUCUAAUACCGGAUAAUAUAUUGAACCGCAUGGUUCAAUAGUUCAAGACGGUUUUGCUGUCACUUAUAGAUGGAUCCGCGUCGCAUUAGCUAGUUGGUAAGGUAACGGCUUACCAAGGCAACGAUGCGUAGCCGACCUGAGAGGGUGAUCGGCCACACUGGAACUGAGACACGGUCCAGACUCCUACGGGAGGCAGCAGUAGGGAAUCUUCCGCAAUGGGCGAAAGCUUGACGGAGCAACGCCGCGUGGGUGAUGAAGGUCUUCGGAUCGUAAAACUCUGUUAUUAGGGAAGAACAAAUGUGUAAGUAACUAUGCACGUCUUGACGGUACCUAAUCAGAAAGCCACGGCUAACUACGUG